Molecule: transfer RNA, 80 nt
Filed under: Xyloredo nooi
Lineage: Eukaryota; Metazoa; Mollusca; Bivalvia; Myida; Pholadidae
Description: tRNA-Glu
Source: RNAcentral
UUUUUUGUAGUAUAUAUUAAUUACGUUAGUUUUUCAAACUAAAGAAAGUCAUUUUGUCUCGGGCUUAGUGGGUAAUAAUU